RNAcentral lists this long non-coding RNA (1020 nucleotides) under Olea europaea (common olive). Its description in RNAcentral is "long non-coding RNA (OEUR_LNC008718)". Lineage: Eukaryota; Viridiplantae; Streptophyta; Magnoliopsida; Lamiales; Oleaceae. The record is from RNAcentral.
AUUUUUGUUCUCAGAAUUUGAAGAACUGAAUUUUGUUUACUCAGUUGUGUAGUUUUUAUAGUCAUCUCUUCUCCUUCUUCUACCAGAGUCGAUGAUUAUGGAAAAUUUUAAAGGGAAUGAUGUCUUCGGUGGGGGAUUGAGUUAGAAAUCUAUCUUCUUCAUUUUCAAACCAACUUCAAGCUCACAUUUAGGAAAAUCAAUGUAAGUUUCCAUAUUUUUAGAUGUAAUUCACAUGAAAUGGAUUUUAUUGUCAAAUAAUAAUUUUUAGUGGGUUUUUAUUGGUUGAGUUUGAAAAUCAGUUGCUUUUUUUGAACCAUGUGUAUUGGGUUUAUAUAUAUAUAUAUAUACACACACACACACUUGAUUUUUGUUUUCUGAAUUUGAGGAAUUGAAUUUAGUUUACUCAGUUGUGUAGUUUUUUAGCCAUAUUUCUCUUUCUUGUACCGAGGUUGAUGAUUGUGGAAAGGUUUAAGGGAACAACGUUUUCGGUGGGGGGUUGAAUUCGAAAUCUAUUUUCUUCAUUUUCAAACCAACUACAAGCUCACAUUUAGCAAAGUCAAUGUAAGUUUUUCAUAUUUUCAAAAGUAAUUCACAGGAAGUGGAUUUGAUUGUCGAAUAAUAAAUUUUAUUGGGGUUUUAUUGGUUAAGUUUGAAAAUUUGUUGCUUAUUCUGAACCAUGUGUAUUGGGUUUUUUGUUCUUUAAAUUUGAGGAAAUGAAUUUUGUUUACUGCCAUUAAUUGUUUUAAUAUUUAUACAUGUUUUAUAAUUUGCAAUACUAUGGAGAAUAUUUAAGUUGACGCCAACAAGAUGUCGAUUGCAAUAGUACAAGAUGUUUAUGAGAAGCUCGAUACAAAUUACAAAAAAGGCUUCGCGAGAGCUGCUUCAGAUCUCUUCUUGUUGGAGUUAUUGCCACUUUCACGAUGUUGAUAUAUAGUUUGGAUGUUGCCUAGCUACUAGCUAGUGCAUUUGCAACUGUAAUGAUUCUGGAUAUUGAAUAUAAUUUAAAUGUACUUAUUUUUG